UGUUAUUCCCUCUCACCUUUUCUCCUGGCUGCCCGUUAUGUCUCUUGUGCCCUCCUUCCUCCAGCACAGCACUCCACCAUCUCUGUGCAUCUGGAGCAGAGAGAAUACAUAUGCACCAGCAGUAGCCACAUUUUUCUACACUCUGGAUCCUAGUGCCCUCCUCCCCACAAUCUGGCACCUGAGGCGGCUGCCUCAGUUUGCCUCAUUGUAAGGCCAGCCCUGGUCAGAUUCCAUGAGGGCAAGCAGUCAGGGCAGCUGGCAGAAGGCCAGGUGCCUGGUGUGUGCUGGGAGAAGCUGAGCCCAGGAGCAGGAAGCAGGCUGUUAUCCCUAACUCUGAAGCAUUUUGCAGCGGCUGUUCGUCCUUCUGGCCUUCUCAAGUGCCAACCGUAACCAGGCUAUGAGUCCGGGGGAGAGAAGGAACCAAAUAAGCAGAAGGUGAUGGAAAAGGGGAAAAAAGAAGACAACAGCACUGAAAAUUCAGAAAGGGAGGAGGACAGAAUAUGGGGAGGCGGGAGAAAGAGUUAAAGAAAGGAGUUGCGUCUGGGGGAUCAAGGCAGAAAAUAUAGUAAAUGGUCUGAAGCUAAAAGGUUCUCCCCAACUUUCAACUGUCCAAAACCUCCCUGACUCAGCCCCAUGCCCAGAUGUGAAAACCUGUCUCAGUUUUUAACUUUGAAAAUCCACUGUCAUCUAAUCCCUGUCUCUGGACUUUUAACACGCUCAUCAACACAAUAUCUGAGUCCAACGGGCUCAGUUACCGGAGAGAUAGCGCCUCUCUCAUGCUGGGAGUAGACAGAUUACAUGUCUGGGGUGGGAGGAUGUUUACAGGGGCAGAGCUUAUCCUCUGCAAGGCUGCUGAAGCAGGAAGUUGGGAGGGCAGUGAAGUGAUGGGAAGGGUUUAGAGAAACAUGUUGAGGUGGAACUAGAAACGGCAAAACAUAAAAAUGAGGUAACUUUGAAGUUAUAUAGGAGAGAGAGAGAUCACAAAACAAGGAGUGACUGGGGACCCAUUGUGCUGAAAGCUUUUCCUGUUCAAAUGUUCUAAAUGAUUUUGGGCCAGAUGGGCCCUUUGUUCUUAUUGUGUGAUGAGCUCAUGUCCUUCCAUUAUUAUUAUUUUACAGUGUAAAUAAUUAAAGCCAGCAACUUGGAAAUGCAAUAGUUGAGCAAGUUAAGAGACACAUGAACACACAAAAUGGGACAAGAAAUCUGAGCCAUUUAAGGAAGCUAAAAUAUCAUACCUCCUAAAAAAGAUUUUUUAAAUGGAGAGUUCCUGCCCAAUGAAUUGCAAAGGUUCAAAGAUGUCAGGGCUAUCUAUUCCUUGGCAUAUUUAAAUGUGGACUAAUAGGGAUAUAAGGAGUAGGAAUGGGCAAUCAGAGCCUGACUAGAUGGGACACUUACUCAGAAUAUACCACACCUGGCUGGAAAGUUGGGUGAUGAGAGAAAGGCAUCAGGGCCAUUCCAGAGCUCAGCAGUCAGAUGGAAUUCUAAAGUAGAAGGGGGCUUUCCCUAGGAAGCGCUUCAGUCUUUUGUCCUGAUGAAUAUUCUGGAAAAGGAUUUGACUUAAAAUAAAAACCCUUCACAAGACAAGCAAGAGGGACAGUGAGGUGGCACAAGCAGCAUCUCGCACACCACCAGGACACAGCCUGAAGGAUGAAGAAUCUUAGCCCUUCUAUGCCACCUAGUGUAGGAAGCAAAGUAGUUCCCCUGUUUGUAAUACUGAGAGUUAGACUUUGGCAGUCAAUGGGAGUUAAGGGCACUCAGUGCCUCAGAACCAGGCUCUGUGUGCUGGGAUGGAUUGGGUAGGCAGUAAACUAGAAAUCUGAAUUGCACCCUUCCAUGGACUAAUUAAUCUAUUCACUUCAGUUACCUCAAGCAUCUCAGCAAUGGGUGCCAUUUAUUGCUGGUAAUGUUGGGAAUUGUAAUCGGCUGAGGUUUUUAAAGGGGGCUGCUUUCUAGUUUCUUUUGCUGGAAUCUGAAUGCUGUGGUGCUCAUUUUUCAUUAUUUUAGGUAAGGUCAUUUUUUUUUAAAGAAAAGAUCAAAGAUGUAGUAGACAGCACUUCAGUCACAGAUAUGAAUGUAGUGUCAUGAGAUGUCUGCAUUGUGCUGCUUUGUAUUAAGAGGUAGUUUGAAAGCUAUCAGGUCAGGGAUUAAAGCUGCUGUGUAGUUACAAAGACAUAGCAUGUAUUUGUGACAGGAGGUGGAGAAAAAUACUAUUUCUUCAGCUAGUCUGAAGAAAUCCCAGGGAAAAAAAUAAGCUCUGACUCUGUCAGCAUUAUUUGGACAAAAGGCACUGCAGGAAUAGUCCAGAAAUGUGGUAUUUAGUUUCUAACUGCCAAACAUACAUAUGCUUCAGUUAAGUGGUUAGGAAUAACUUUCCCUAUGGGCAGGUUUAUUCCUUUACUGCCUACUUCAGGGCUUCUUGCAUUUGAAGAGUCUGCUGCUGGGUAUUGUUGGAGUUAGGAGAAUAAACUAGUGUGCAUCACUGGCUUGGUUCAGUUUGGCAAUUCUUGUGUUACUGCUUGAAGACACUAUACCAGUGGAAGAUGGUAUGUUUUGAACUCAUUCAUUAACAACUGCUUCAUAUGAUGCUAUAGUAUUCCAGAUGUCACCAGUUUCAGCAUAAUUAGGUAUAUAUGUGAGUACUUCCAUAGUAUCUGCAGGUGUUUAAGAACCCUUAUGUUUGAUGGUUCCUGCACUUUGUCAGACAUUUUACACAUAAAGUGUGAAUUAUGCUUAGGUGUACCCUUGCAGUGCAGAGUUCCAGGAAUCCUCAUAGUUGACAUAGUAUAUUAGCAUAUUUUCAGUACACUAUUGCUAUCCCAAUAGUAAAACUCAUGCACAGAACCCAAGUACUGUACUGGAAAUCUAUCUCAAGAGCAGAACUCAUGUAGUAGGUUCUAAUUCUUGUUGGCUAGGUCAAAAAGUCAAUAUCUCUGAUUUUUCACCCCCCUCCCCGUUUUCUAACCUUGUUGCUACACCUUUUUCCCUCUAAUAAUCUUCUGUUUAAAAUGCCCAACUGCUACCAAUAAGUAGUGCUGCAAGCACAUGCAUCUGAACAGAAAAUUCCACAUUUUAUGUAGUCAUGUCUAAUUUAAAACAGAAAAAUUUGUUUCUCCUACACCCACUCCUACACCCCCUCAUCAGACCCACACAGCCUUUUGUAUGUGCUUCCGUGUUGCCACAAGUGUAUCAUGUAGCACAUGUAGAAUUUAUAUAGUGUACAGACAAGGAUAUUCCGAGGAGCUCAAUUGCAUGAAAAAGGUUGGCAUGUGUGAUGGCAAAACAAUGAAACAUAGACUGUAAAGUUAAUAAGGACUAUAUGUCUUGGCAGUAUAGCAUAAAAGAUACCAUAUCAGAGGAGGAGGCAGAAUUACAUCAUAUGCUUUCUGUUUAUCCCAUGUAAAAAAGAUAAUAUUUCUACUCUUUCCAAUGCAAUAUAAUGUGUGUGUCUGGUUGUAUUAUUAAAAUGAUUAAAAUAUCUUUUCAUAGGGGAAAAAACGGUGUAAGCUGGUCAUUUUGAGCAAGUAGCCAAAUAUUUGGUUUCCUAUUUUUUUGUUUGUUUUUUUUCUUUCCUAGAGCUUGGAAAUCCCAUAUAUCUAUAGUUAAUAGAGGCACUGAAGAUGAUUGAUGGUUAACUAUUUCAACUUUUUUCUAACCUAAUUAUUGAUCCCACAAUGUUUA
Dermochelys coriacea (leatherback sea turtle) is the source of this 3678-nucleotide long non-coding RNA. RefSeq lists it as uncharacterized. Lineage: Eukaryota; Metazoa; Chordata; Testudines; Dermochelyidae. The record is from RefSeq and is a predicted model, not a curated record. The transcript has 3 exons.